ACAGCAACGUGGAUGGAACUGGAGGGUAUUAUGGAGUGGACAGGAGAGCACAGAGAUGCCACACCGGAUUGUGGUCAAGGGGGCUGUUCAUGGCCCCACCCUAGGGGAUGUCUGACUGUCAGAACCGUGCAGUGGAAGCCACAAUAAGCAUGAUACAGGCACAUAUAUAGAAUUCUCUAGGAAGAUUCCUUCACUACGGGCUUCGCUGAUGCAGGAUGCUGUUGAGGGGUCGCCCUGCAUCGGUGGCCAUGUUGCUUGUAAAGGAACGAUGUGUUUUCAGUCACCCUGUCAUCCACUGAAAGUUGAAACAAAAUCACAGUGAGAAUCUAUAGGUUGCAUAUCAAUUUUUUCACUGCAGGCAGAUUAAAUAACAUGUUCAGGCUGGGCAUUAACUAAAAUGUCUGAGAUUUGACCAUGUCUUCAAUAGACAAUGAAUGUGGGUUUUGGUGACCCAGUCCUCCAAGUAUUUCCAGAAGAAGCAGUGAGAGGAAAUUUUAAAUUCUGACAAAGAUUUAUUAAGUUUCCUCUUUGGUGGGGAAGAAGAGCUGUCUAGUGGUAUCUAAAACAUUCAGAACUUGUGAUCAUUCUUGUUCCAAGCAAAUACCAGUUCUCUAGGUUUAUUAGCCUAUAAGAUCACAGAAUUCCAAGAGUAUUCCUGAAAGUUCUCUCUUCUUCAACACUUGCACUCAUAUCUAUUCAUGUCAGUAAAUAAGGUAGCCUUAAUAUAUUAAAAUAUGUAUCAUGUAAAAAGGAAGUGAAAGUUACAAAUAUGGGAAAAGAAUGUGAUACAAAGAAGUGCAUUCUGUAUUUAGCAAGGAAACCAUGAAAACUCCUGAGAAAAAGCUAAAUGUAUGAGGUCACUAACUCAACAUUUUAAAUUCCCCAGUGCUGAAUUUUUAUGGCUUACAAGCAAUCUGAAAGUUUCUAGGAAAAAGUGUUGCAAUUCUGGAUUUUUGCCUGUCUUU
This is a long non-coding RNA of Lynx canadensis (Canada lynx), 965 nucleotides long. RefSeq lists it as uncharacterized. The record is from RefSeq and is a predicted model, not a curated record. NCBI's taxonomy places the organism in Eukaryota, Metazoa, Chordata, Mammalia, Carnivora, Felidae. The transcript is spliced from 3 exons.